This is a long non-coding RNA of Microcebus murinus (gray mouse lemur), 423 nucleotides long. RefSeq lists it as uncharacterized. Lineage: Eukaryota; Metazoa; Chordata; Mammalia; Primates; Cheirogaleidae. The record is from RefSeq and is a predicted model, not a curated record.
GCAAGUAAAGCAAUGCUCAUUUCUUAAAGUAUAUUGUUUGCAUUCAGGUUUAUGAAAGGCACCACCACUCUUAAGAAAAAAAAACCACCAUGGAAAUGCGGAAUGGCCUGGAGAGGAAACUAGAGGAUGUUAAUCAGCACUAGAGGGACCAAGGUCUGAAGGCAACGUAGAGGUCUAUGAAAGGGGAGAUCCAAGAGACAUUAGAGAUUCAGGACAAUUUCACGUUGAGUAUUAGGAGCUAUGGAAAGGAAGUGCUUCAGGACACACAGCACAGGGGAUGACCGGUGGUUCAAGGUCUGGGACAUCUCGAGGAGUGCUUGGAUCAACAACAGUUGCCUAGCUUUCAACUAUCUUCAUCUCUUUGUAGGAAUUUCCUUGUAGCACACAAUGCAUUUCAGAAAAAAUGAAUAACAUAAAACAGUA